ACGGAGAAGGCUAGGUGGGCCUCGCGACGGUUGUCGAGGUUCAAGUGCGUAGGCUGGUGUCUUAGGUAAAUCCGGGACGCCCUCUUUAAGUAGAGAAGGCUGAGACACGAUGUCGAGCUACUACGGUAGUGAAGUCAUUGAUGCCAUGCUUCCGGGAAAAGCCUCUAAGCUUCAGGUUAUAAGGAAUCGUACCCCAAACCGACACAGGUGGUCGGGUAGAGAAUACCAAGGCG
RNAcentral lists this ribosomal RNA (233 nucleotides) under Enterovibrio norvegicus. Its description in RNAcentral is "partial 23S ribosomal RNA". It matches the Rfam family "Bacterial large subunit ribosomal RNA", at positions 1472 to 1688 of the family's 2925-position model. The record is from RNAcentral. Lineage: Bacteria; Pseudomonadati; Pseudomonadota; Gammaproteobacteria; Vibrionales; Vibrionaceae.